CUAAAAUAUAAUUUUGUUUUAUUACGUUAGGAGUGUUAUAACGUUUUCCUUUUGCCUGUUUAGGUCAUACCAGCUUUUUAAAACUGUGUUCCCUUUGAUGCCAUAAUGUUGUUAUUCUUGAAACAUACAAUCCAAAAACUUGCAUGUUUCAUAUCUUGCUGAUUAGAGAAGUCAAUGCUUACAUUCUUACCACUGCAGGUUAUCCUUGUGACAGAACAGUUACUGCUCCACUCCAACCAUGGCAAGUCACCCAUUGGUAUACUCACUGCUUCACUUCAACUAUUAUCUUCAAUGGGCUGGUUGUUUCUUUGACAGAGUUUGCUGCUGCCUGCACAGAUGAUGAAAGUCUAACAACUUGGAACAUGUCUAAAAACUCACUGCAGGCUAUCCAUGUGACUGUAAAGAUUGUGCUAUCUAGAAACUCAAUGCUUCACUUUAACCACUGUAGUUCAUCCAUGUGACAGGAACCAUUAUCUUCAAUUGGCAAGUCUUAAAGUUUUUAUCCAAUGUCUACUAAAUUUGAACUUUACUUCGCCUCAUCAAACGAAACUUGUCCUGUUUACUGGGGUCAGAUAUCUCUAGUUUUUUUACCUUAUCAAGUCCUGGGACACUGGUAACUAAACAAAUGUUUUUGUAACCUUUAAAUUGUUCCCAGGCUGACUUUGUGUCAUUCAUGCAACAUUACCAAAGUUAGUGCCAUUCUUUUAGAAAGAUUGCAAAUCUAAUAACAGUUCAAGAUCCAUUUGUUUCAAGUUUAAUAAAUUGUUCUUUCUUGGGAUCCUUCUCUUUUAAUUAUAUUUUUUGUUCAAUUUGUCAAUAUAAUCAAUGGCCGAUCAGGGGGGCUUGCCUCCCCCUAACAACUCUGAAAACCAAGGUUUUUUGUUAAGUUAGGAUGGUUACAUUUUAUAUUUGAAAUUGGCGCCAGAUUGAGAGGUUAACAAACCUAAUAAUCAGACAACCCUAGAUGUAAAAAGCUAAAGCUGCCCAGUCCCCUGAAACUUCUUAACCUUGUGAUUUCAAUCCUUAAAUAGUUUUCCAGAGCAAAUGUGCCAUUUCUUAAUUUCAACAACAUGUUGGUACAGUUUAGUCAACUGUCUUUAAAAAAACAAACCAAUCUUGUGAUUUUGAAUAAUGUGCUUGAUACUUUCAUGUAUAUGUCUUGAUUCUGUCUCUGUUGCCAUGCUGGUUGUUUCUUUGACAGAGUUGGCUGCUGCCUGCACAGAUGAUGAAAGUUGAACACCUUGGAAAAUGUAUAGGAAUUCACUGCAGGCUACCCAAGUUGCUAUAAAGGUUGUGAUAUAGAAACUUCCUGCUUAACUCCAAACACUGUAGUUCAUUCAUGUGACAGCAACUAUUAUCUGCAAUGGGCUGGUUGUUCUUUGACAGAGUUAGCUGCUGCCUGCACCGAUGAUGAAAGUCUAACAACUUGGAACAUGUCUAAAAAUCCACUGCAUGCUAUCCACGUGACUGUAGCUUAAAGGUUGUUCUAUCUAGAAACUCGAUGCUUCAUUCCAACCACUGUAGUUCACUGUGAGGCAAAUAUUAUCUUCAAUGGGCUAUCCAUGUGACUGUACAGGCUGUGCUAUCUAGAAACUCAAUACUUCACGUUAACCACUUUAAGUCAUCCAUGUGAUUGCAACUAUUAUCUUCAAUGGGUAAGUCUUGAAGUUUUAUCCCAUAUGUACUCAUUUUUAAUCUUAAUUUGUCUUAUCAAACAAAACUUGUCCCGUGCACAGACGUCAUAUCACAUUUUUUUUUUAUCCUAUCGAUUCCUCGGACACUUGCAACUUAACAACAAUUUGUUUUCAAUUUCAAAUUGUUCCUGAGCUGAGUGAUAUUCAAGAAGUAUUAUCAAACUUUGUGCCAUUCUUUUAAAAAUGAAUGCAAUCUAAUGAUAGUUCAACUCUCAUUUGUUUCAAGUUUAAUAAAUUGUUCUCUCUUGGGAUCCUUCUUUUUUUUAAUUGAUUUUUUUCCACAAUUGCUGCAUGCACAGAGGACAACGAAAGUCUAACAAUUUAGGACUUGUCUAGGAACGCACUGCAAGCUGUCCAUGUGACUGUAAAGGUUGUGCUAUUUAGAAACUCAUUUCACUCAAACCACUUUAGGCCAUUCAUGUGACAGCAACUAUUAUCUUCAAUGGGCAAGUCUUGAAGUUUGAUCCCAUACAUCUACUCAAUGUGAACUUGAAUUUGUACCAUUAAUAAAAUUGAAAAUCCAAUGAUCUCUUUACAUUCUUCUUUAAAAUUGAUUUUGUUUUCAAAAUUGACAGUAUAAUCGAGGGAGGGGGACCAACGGGGGCAAUACCUGCUCCCCCAACUCUUUCUGUUAUUAUCAUGUUAUGACCAAGCACUUUUUGUUUGAAAUGGACGCUUUAUUGACAAGUUAACUAACUUUAUACUCGGACUACCCUGCAUGUAAUCUAAAAGUUUAUGUUUGUCUCAUUAGGGCAACCCAGCUUUAUUAAACUUUUUCUCCUGAGUGACUGAUUGCCAUAUUGGUAAGGUACUUAAUAUCAUGCAGUCUAUAUCGAUUUGCAUGUUUCAUAUUUUGCUGAAAAGUUAACUCAAUACUACAUUCUUACCACUGCAGGUUAUCCAUGUGACGGCACAGUUACUGCUACAGUUGCUGCAGGUCAUCCGCACAGGCACAGCUUGUCCAAGUAUUAAGUCACAAGGAACUGGAGUGUAUAAUGUAAGCCUUUCUUUCAUUCUAAAGGGCCAGUCACACUGCAGCAAUAAAGAUAACAACGCAUAGAAAUUUAUUCAACCAAUCGUUGGCGUGCAUUGUAAUGCUUUCAUAUUCGUUAUCGAGGCCUUUAAGCCACCCCUUUACCGUUUCUUUUUAGGACUAACUGUUCUAACAUCAGGCUGGCCACUUUUUUUAACUCUCUUUCAAUUUUUAGUUUUUUACCCAAGUCUUUUCUUCCAUGUUAU
This is a long non-coding RNA of Asterias rubens (European starfish), 2933 nucleotides long. RefSeq lists it as uncharacterized. The transcript has 4 exons. The record is from RefSeq and is a predicted model, not a curated record. NCBI's taxonomy places the organism in Eukaryota, Metazoa, Echinodermata, Asteroidea, Forcipulatida, Asteriidae.